This 1025-nucleotide ribosomal RNA is filed under the name uncultured crenarchaeote. RNAcentral's name for it is "partial 16S ribosomal RNA". It matches the Rfam family "Archaeal small subunit ribosomal RNA", at positions 348 to 1478 of the family's 1478-position model. The record is from RNAcentral. Lineage: Archaea; Thermoproteati; Thermoproteota.
CUUCACGCCGCUCGGAGUCACGCUUAGAGUUCUUCGGACUGCUAAUUUUUUGUGUUUGUUCCCUCUCGUAAAAAAAGAGAGAGAAAAAGCCCCGUAAAAGAGGGGCGCACCCGGCGGGAAUACACCCGCGGCCCGAGGGGUGCUUUAUAUUUUUGAUUUUAGGGCGUUCGGCCGGUUCUUUGAAACCUUGGGGAAAUACCGCAAGCUCAUUGUUCAAUUUUCCUAGGACCUGCAAGUCUCGGGGCCGGAGAGGGUUCGAGUUACUCUCGGGGUGGGUGUAAUAUCUUGUAUCCUGAGAGAACCACCCGGGGGGAAGGGGUCGAAAUUAGAACGAUCCCGAGGGUAUGGAAGAAAGCCUGGGGCGCCAAACGGUAUUAGACACCCCGGAGUCCUGGGUGUAAACACCCGCCGGGCUUGGGGUCGAAGUCCCUAAAAGAAUUUCGGUGCCCGAAAAAAAUUUUAAAACUGCCGUUUGGGAAGCCGGCCCAAGUGUAAACUUUAAAGAAUUGGCGGGCAACCCCCCACGGGGGGGCCUGGUUUCCAUUUGUUUCCCCCCACAAUUACCCGGGGGGGGGUAUAUUGAGGCAUGUUGGACACCUUUCCUGAUUUUGGAAGGUGGGGUUGGCCGUCGUCUUUCUACCCGUAGGGGUUUGUUAAAUAAAAUAAAAAGGAAACCUCCUUGCUAUUAGCGGCGGUUCCGGAGGGGGGGGGCCAUUAGCGGACCCCCCGCCUAAAAUGAGGAAGGUAACCCCACCGGUAGGUGUUUUGCCCUACCCCUGGGUAACCGGGCCUAAAAGGGCAAGAAAAAGGGGUCAAUCCGAAAGCCCCGGUAUUCCGAACCUGCCCGAUUUCAAUUGAGGGUUAUACCCCCCCCCCGACUGGGAUUCGUAAAAAGCCGUUUAAAUCAGCGGGAAAUUUCCCUGGGCUCUUGUUACAGGGGGGGGGAGUCGAUAAACCGGGGGCUCCCCCCUUUGGGGGGGUAUUUCUGAACUGGGCAAUAUGGUUUUUUUUUUGUUCAGAGAAAA